GUAGGGUGCGAGCGUUAAUCGGAAUUACUGGGCGUAAAGUGUGCGCAGGCGGCCGAGCAAGUCGAGUGUGAAAGCCCCGAGCUUAACUUGGGAACUGCGCUCGAAACUACUUGGCUAGAGUGUGGCAGAGGGAGGUGGAAUUCCACGUGUAGCGGUGAAAUGCGUAGAGAUGUGGAGGAACACCGAUGGCGAAGGCAGCCUCCUGGGCCAACACUGACGCUCAUGCACGAAAGCGUGGGGAGCAAACAGGAUUAGAUACCCUGGUAGUCCACGCCCUAAACGAUGAUGACUAGUUGUUGGAGGAGUUAAAUCCUUUAGUAACGCAGCUAACGCGUGAAGUCAUCCGCCUGGGGAGUACGGUCGCAA
RNAcentral lists this ribosomal RNA (366 nucleotides) under uncultured bacterium. RNAcentral describes it as "bacterial SSU rRNA". It matches the Rfam family "Bacterial small subunit ribosomal RNA", at positions 527 to 891 of the family's 1533-position model. The record is from RNAcentral.